Molecule: ribosomal RNA, 428 nt
Filed under: uncultured bacterium
Lineage: Bacteria
Description: bacterial SSU rRNA
Rfam family: Archaeal small subunit ribosomal RNA
Source: RNAcentral
UUAGGAAUCGUCUACAAUGCGCGCAAGCGUGAUAGCGCGAGCCAGAGUGCCUCUCAAUGAGAGGCUUUUGCCAAAUCUAAAAAGUUUGGCGAAUAAGGACUGGGUAAGACUAGUGCCAGCCGCCGCGGUAAUCCUAGCGGUCCAAGUCGCAGCCAACAUUAUUGGGUCUAAAACAUCCGUAGCUUGCUUGAUAAGUUCCCUGUGAAAUUCUGCGUCUUAAAUGCAGAGCGUGCAAGGAGUACUGUCAAGCUAGAGACUGGAAGACGUGGAGAGUACGUUCGAAGUAGUGGUAAAAUACGUUAAUCUCGGACGGACUUACAAUAGCGAAGGCACUCCACGAGGACAGUUCUGACAGUGAGGGAUGAAGGCUAGGGUCGCGAAAGGGAUUAGAUACCCCCGUAGUCCCUGAGCGGGCUGGCAAGGCGCAU